RNAcentral lists this ribosomal RNA (505 nucleotides) under uncultured bacterium. Its description in RNAcentral is "bacterial SSU rRNA". It matches the Rfam family "Bacterial small subunit ribosomal RNA", at positions 19 to 513 of the family's 1533-position model. The record is from RNAcentral.
UGGGCUCAGAACGAACGCUGGCGGCGUGGAUAAGACAUGCAAGUCGAACGGAGAUCUUGAAUAGCUUGCUAAUUAAGAUCUUAGUGGCGGACGGGUUAGUAACACGUGAGAACCUACCCUUUAGACAGGAAUAGCCCAUGGAAACGUGGAUUAAUGCCUGAUAGUCUCUACGGAGUAAAUGGUGCCUUCGGGUAUCGCUAGAGGAUGGGCUCGCGCGCCUAUCAACUUGUUGGUGAGGUAAAGGCUCAACCAAGGCGACGACGGGUAGCUGGUCUGAGAGGACGAUCAGCAACACUGGAACUGAGACACGGUCCAGACACCUACGGGUGGCAGCUAGUCGAGAAUCAUUCACAAUGGAGGCAACUCUGAUGGUGCAACGCCGCGUGGAGGGAUGACGGUCCUAGGAUUGUAAACUCCUGUCUAUUGGGGAGUAAGACUUAAGCGUUAAGAGCGUUUAAGUUUGAUAGUACCCGAAGAGGAAGGGACGGCUAACUUCGUGCCGGCG